CCUACGGGAGGCAGCAGUGGGGAAUAUUGCACAAUGGGGGAAACCCUGAUGCAGCGACGCCGCGUGAGUGAAGAAGUAUUUCGGUAUGUAAAGCUCUAUCAGCAGGGAAGAAAAUGCCGGUACCUGAUUCAGAAGCCCCGUCUAACUACGUUCCAGCAGCCGCGGUAAUACGUCGGCGGCAAGCGUUAUCCGGAUUUACUGGGUGUAAAGGGAGCGUAGGCGGCAGCACAAGUCUGGAGUGAAAUGCCGGGGCUUAACCCCGGAACUGCUUUGGAAACUGUGCAGCUAGAGUGCAGGUGAGGUAAGUGGAAUGCCUGGUGUAGCGGUGAAAUGCGUAGAGAUUAGGAAGAACACCAGUGGCGAAGGCGGCUUACUGGACUGUAACUGACGUUGAGGCUCGAAAGCGUGGGGAGCAAACAGGAUUAGAUACCCGAGUAGUC
Molecule: ribosomal RNA, 440 nt
Filed under: uncultured bacterium
Lineage: Bacteria
Description: partial 16S ribosomal RNA
Rfam family: Bacterial small subunit ribosomal RNA
Source: RNAcentral